This 722-nucleotide ribosomal RNA is filed under the name uncultured bacterium. RNAcentral's name for it is "bacterial SSU rRNA". It matches the Rfam family "Bacterial small subunit ribosomal RNA", at positions 59 to 769 of the family's 1533-position model. The record is from RNAcentral.
AAGUCGAGGGGCAGCAUGAUUUGUAGCAAUACAGAUUGAUGGCGACCGGCGCACGGGUGAGUAACGCGUAUGCAACUUACCUAUCAGAGGGGGAUAGCCCGGCGAAAGUCGGAUUAAUACCCCAUAAAACAGGGGUCCCGCAUGGGAAUAUUUGUUAAAGAUUCAUCGCUGAUAGAUAGGCAUGUGUUCCAUUAGGCAGUUGGCGGGGUAACGGCCCACCAAACCGACGAUGGAUAGGGGUUCUGAGAGGAAGGUCCCCCACAUUGGUACUGAGACACGGACCAAACUCCUACGGGAGGCAGCAGUGAGGAAUAUUGGUCAAUGGCCGAGAGGCUGAACCAGCCAAGUCGCGUGAAGGAAGAAGGAUCUAUGGUUUGUAAACUUCUUUUAUAGGGGAAUAAAGUGGAGGACGUGUCCUUUUUUGUAUGUACCCUAUGAAUAAGCAUCGGCUAACUCCGUGCCAGCAGCCGCGGUAAUACGGAGGAUGCGAGCGUUAUCCGGAUUUAUUGGGUUUAAAGGGUGCGUAGGUGGUGAUUUAAGUCAGCGGUGAAAGUUUGUGGCUCAACCAUAAAAUUGCCGUUGAAACUGGGUUACUUGAGUGUGUUUGAGGUAGGCGGAAUGCGUGGUGUAGCGGUGAAAUGCAUAGAUAUCACGCAGAACUCCGAUUGCGAAGGCAGCUUACUAAACCAUAACUGACACUGAAGCACGAAAGCGUGGGGAUC